CGCUCAUCCAGAGGGGCAGAGGGAUACGGCCCGAUGAAGCCCCGGCAACCCUCCAGCCGGUCUCGUAGCGAUCACUGACGAUCGCACCGCGAGGCUCCCGGCUAGGGAAGGUGCCAAAUCCGUCUCACGGCGAGAUGCGUCGUGAGGAAGAUGAGGA
Molecule: non-coding RNA, 157 nt
Filed under: Streptomyces sp.
Lineage: Bacteria; Bacillati; Actinomycetota; Actinomycetes; Kitasatosporales; Streptomycetaceae
Also listed under: 1 other name
Description: SAM-I sequence
Rfam family: SAM riboswitch aptamer (S box leader)
About the family: The SAM riboswitch is found upstream of a number of genes which code for proteins involved in methionine or cysteine biosynthesis in Gram-positive bacteria. The SAM riboswitch acts at the level of transcription termination control.
Source: RNAcentral